UAUAGCUUUUUUCCCAGAAUGUGCCCGAUCUCAUCUGAUCUUGAGAAGCUAAGCAGGGUUGAGCCUAGAUCGUGCAUGGAUGGGGCGACCUCCAUGCAUAACAGCUGCCGAAGGCUGCGA
This 120-nucleotide ribosomal RNA is filed under the name Petromyzon marinus (sea lamprey). The record is from RNAcentral. Lineage: Eukaryota; Metazoa; Chordata; Hyperoartia; Petromyzontiformes; Petromyzontidae.